This 1526-nucleotide ribosomal RNA is filed under the name metagenome. RNAcentral's name for it is "bacterial SSU rRNA". It matches the Rfam family "Bacterial small subunit ribosomal RNA". The record is from RNAcentral.
AGAGUUUGAUUCUGGCUCAGAACGAACGCUGGCGGCGUGGAUAAGACAUGCAAGUCGAACGCCCAUCACGAGGUAGCAAUAUUUCGCGGUGGGAGUGGCGCAAGGGUGCGUAACACGUGGGUAAUCUGCCGCGAAGUCCGGGAUAACUUGCUGAAAGGCGAGCUAAUACCAGAUGUGACUGUCGGGAGGCAUCUCCUGGCAUUCAAAGUUGGGGACCGUAAGGCCUGACACUUCACGAUGAGCCCGCGGCCUAUCAGCUAGUUGGUGAGGUAACGGCCCACCAAGGCUAAGACGGGUAGCUGGUCUAGAGGACGACCAGCCACACUGGAACUGAGACACGGUCCAGACACCUACGGGUGGCAGCAGUCGAGAAUUUUUCUCAAUGGGCGAAAGCCUGAAGGAGCGACGCCGCGUGGGGGAUGAAGGGCUUCGGCCUGUAAACCCCUGUCAUUUGCGAUCAAGGCGACCGACCUAAUACGUCGGGCGUUGAUAGUAGCGAAAGAGGAAGGGACGGCUAACUCUGUGCCAGCAGCCGCGGUAAUACAGAGGUCCCAAGCGUUGUUCGGAUUUACUGGGCGUAAAGGGUGCGUAGGUGGCAAGGUAAGUUCGGUGUGAAAUCUCCAGGCUUAACCUGGAAACUGCACUGGAUACUAUCUAGCUCGAGGAUCGUAGGGGAGACUGGAAUUCUCGGUGUAGCAGUGAAAUGCGUAGAUAUCGAGAGGAACACCAGUGGCGAAAGCGAGUCUCUGGACGAUCCCUGACACUGAGGCACGAAAGCUAGGGGAGCAAACAGGAUUGGAUACCCUGGUAGUCCUAGCCCUAAACGGUGCAUGUUUGCUGUGGGAGGAAUCGACCCCUUCCGUGGCGAAGCUAACGCGUUAAACAUGCCGCCUGGGGAGUACGGCCGCAAGGUUAAAACUCAAAGAAAUUGACGGGGGCCUGCACAAGCGGUGGAGUAUGUGGCUUAAUUCGAUUCAACGCGAAGAACCUUACCUGGCCUUGACAUGUAGGUGGUAGAAGCCUGAAAGGGCAACGACCCCGCAAGGGGAGCUUACACAGGUGCUGCAUGGCUGUCGUCAGCUCGUGUCGUGAGAUGUUGGGUUAAGUCCCGCAACGAGCGCAACCCUCGUGUCCUGUUGCGACCCGGAUGAGAAUUCGGAGCACUCUGGACAGACUGCCACAUUUUCAUGUGGAGGAAGGUGGGGAUGACGUCAAGUCAGGAUGGCCCUUACGGCCAGGGCUGCACACGUACUACAAUGCCCGGUACAAAGAGAAGCAAGACCGCAAGGUGGAGCUAAUCUCGCAAAACCGGGCCCAGUUCAGAUUGUCGGCUGCAACUCGCCGACAUGAAGCUGGAAUCGCUAGUAAUGGCGCAUCAGCUACGGCGCCGUGAAUACGUUCCCAGGCCUUGUACACACCGCCCGUCACAUCAUGAAAGCCGGUUGUACCCGAAGUCAGCGCGUUAACCGCAAGGAGACAGCUGCCGAAGGUAUGGCUGGUGAUUGGGAUGAAGUCGUAACAAGGUA